AUUGAACGCUGGCGGCAGGCCUAACACAUGCAAGUCGAACGGCAGCACAGAAGAGCUUGCUCUUUGGGUGGCGAGUGGCGGACGGGUGAGUAAUGUCUGGGAAACUGCCCGAUGGAGGGGGAUAACUACUGGAAACGGUAGCUAAUACCGCAUAACGUCGCAAGACCAAAGUGGGGGACCUUCGGGCCUCACACCAUCGGAUGUGCCCAGAUGGGAUUAGCUAGUAGGUGGGGUAAUGGCUCACCUAGGCGACGAUCCCUAGCUGGUCUGAGAGGAGGACCAGCCAGACUGGAACUGAGACACGGUCCAGACUCCUACGGGAGGCAGCAGUGGGGAAUAUUGCACAAUGGGCGCAAGCCUGAUGCAGCCAUGCCGCGUGUAUGAAGAAGGCCUUCGGGUUGUAAAGUACUUUCAGCGGGGAGGAAGGCGGUGAGGUUAAUAACCUCGCCGAUUGACGUUACCCGCAGAAGAAGCACCGGCUAACUCCGUGCCAGCAGCCGCGGUAA
RNAcentral lists this ribosomal RNA (506 nucleotides) under uncultured bacterium. RNAcentral's name for it is "partial 16S ribosomal RNA". It matches the Rfam family "Bacterial small subunit ribosomal RNA", at positions 29 to 523 of the family's 1533-position model. The record is from RNAcentral.